RNAcentral lists this ribosomal RNA (497 nucleotides) under uncultured bacterium. RNAcentral describes it as "partial 16S ribosomal RNA". It matches the Rfam family "Bacterial small subunit ribosomal RNA", at positions 28 to 507 of the family's 1533-position model. The record is from RNAcentral.
GACGAACGCUGGCGGCGUGCCUAAUACAUGCAAGUCGAGCGAUGACGUUUGGUGCUUGCACCAAUUUGAAGAGCAGCGGACGGGUGAGUAACGCGUGGUGAAUCUGCCUUUCAGCGGGGGACACCAUUUGGGAACGAAUGCUAAUACCGCAUAACAACUUUAAACAUAAGGGUUAAGUUUGAAAGAUGCAAUUGCAUCACUCAAAGACGAUCCCGCGUUGUAUUAGCUAGUUGGUGGGGUAAAGGCGAAACAAGGCGAUGAUACAUAACCGACCUGAGAGGGGGCUCGGCCAAGCUGGGACGGGGACACGGCCCAAAACACUACGGGUGGCAGCCGUAGGGGAUCCUCGGCGAUGGAAGAAAGGCUGACCGAGCGACGCCGCGCGAGUGAAGAAGGUUGUCGGGUCGCGAAACUCUUGUGGUAGAGAAGAACGUAGGUGAGAGUGGAAAGCUCAUCAAGUGACGGUACCUACACAGAAAGCGACGGCUAACUACGUG